RNAcentral lists this ribosomal RNA (497 nucleotides) under uncultured bacterium. RNAcentral describes it as "partial 16S ribosomal RNA". It matches the Rfam family "Bacterial small subunit ribosomal RNA", at positions 28 to 507 of the family's 1533-position model. The record is from RNAcentral.
GAUGAACGCUGGCGGCGUGCCUAAUACAUGCAAGUCGAGCGAACAGAUGAGGAGCUUGCUCCUCUGACGUUAGCGGCGGACGGGUGAGUAACACGUGGAUAACCUACCUAUCAGACUGGGAUAACUUCGGGAAACCGGAGCUAAUACCGGAUAAUAUAUUGAACCGCAUGGUUCAAUAGUGAAAGACGGUUUUGCUGUCACUUAUAGAUGGAUCCGCGCCGCAUUAGCUAGUUGGUAAGGUAACGGCUUACCAAGGCAACGAUGCGUAGCCGACCUGAGAGGGUGAUCGGCCGCACUGGAACGGGGACACGGUCCAGACGACUACGGGAGGCAGCAGUAGGGAAUCUUCCGCAAUGGGCGAAAGCCUGACGGAGCAACGCCGCGUGAGUGAUGAAGGUCUUCGGAUCGUAAAACUCUGUUAUUAGGGAAGAACAAAUGUGUAAGUAACUAUGCACGUCUUGACGGUACCUAAUCAGAAAGCCACGGCUAACUACGUG